UACGUAGGGGGCAAGCGUUGUCCGGAUUUACUGGGCGUAAAGGGCGCGUAGGCGGCCUUCUACGUCGAACGUGAAAUCCCCGGGCUCAACCCGGGAACUGCGUCCGAUACUGGAAGGCUUGAAUCCGGGAGAGGGAUGCGGAAUUCCAGGUGUAGCGGUGAAAUGCGUAGAUAUCUGGAGGAACACCGGUGGCGAAGGCGGCAUCCUGGACCGGUAUUGACGCUGAGGCGCGAAAGCCAGGGGAGCAAACGGG
This 253-nucleotide ribosomal RNA is filed under the name uncultured bacterium. RNAcentral describes it as "partial 16S ribosomal RNA". It matches the Rfam family "Bacterial small subunit ribosomal RNA", at positions 524 to 776 of the family's 1533-position model. The record is from RNAcentral.